This 1524-nucleotide unclassified non-coding RNA is filed under the name Dimorphilus gyrociliatus. RNAcentral describes it as "dgyrCDS2117". Lineage: Eukaryota; Metazoa; Annelida; Polychaeta; Dinophilidae. The record is from RNAcentral.
GUUGGCAACUUUAUUUUUAAGAGUUCACAGGGUUCGGAUCAGGAGCACGACAAACUCUUUUUUUUCAGCUAAGGUAGUAAAAUAAUGCCAUCCGAACCAAUUUAGAACAAAUGUAAAAGUUAGGUAGUUACUACUUAAUUACUUUCAACUUAUUUUAUUUUCAGAUAGAAUAGAAUUUUUUUAUCACGAAUAAUCAAUUAUGAAAACUUAUUGUCAUAUAAUUUUUUCAUUUCUAAUUGUAUCUGCCACGUUUUCCGCUAUACCAAAACCUCAUAGAGAAUUAAAUAAAAUUUUAGAAAAGAAACUGAGUGAUAUUGAUCAUGGAGCUGGUGAACUUCACAAUUCCGAGUUCGAUCAUGAAGCUUUCUUAGGAAGGAAUGAGGCUAAAGACUUUGAAAAUUUAUCACCAACAGAAAGCAAAGAAAAACUGGGGAAAAUUUAUGAUAAAAUCGAUAAGGAUGGUGAUGGCUUUGUUACUGAACGAGAACUACGUACUUGGAUACAAUACGUACAAACUCGAUAUACCUCCACAGACACUGAUAACCAUUGGAAAGACUUUAAAAACGAUUUACAAGAUAAUUUGUUAAACUUUGAAAGUUAUAAAAGAAUAACUUACGGACCAGGUAGCGAAACUGAAGAAGAUGAUGAAAGUGUCAAAAAUCUUAUUAAAAGAGAUGAAAGAAGGUGGAAUAAGGCUGAUUUAAAUAAUGAUAGUUUGUUAAGUAGAGAAGAAUUUGUGUACUUUCUACAUCCGGAAGACGCAGAAUAUAUGAGAGAUGUUGUUGUUGAUGAAACUAUUGAGGACAUUGAUAGAAAUGGUGAUGGUAAAAUAGAUAUUGAAGAGUUUAUAAGAGAUUUAUGGCGUGAAGAGGACGAAGAAGGGGAUGGAAGUGAACCAUCGUGGAUUAAGGAAGAAAGGGAUCAGUUUAUAAAUUAUAGAGAUAAGAAUAAAGACGGUUUUAUGGAUCGUGACGAAGUAAAAGAUUGGAUAAUACCUGAAGAUUACGAUCAUUCUGAUUCAGAAGCCAAACAUUUAAUUCAAGAAGCGGAUAUUAGUAAGGACGGGAAAUUAACCAAAGACGAAGUGUUAGAAAAGUACGACCUAUUUGUUGGAAGUCAAGCAACUGACUUUGGAGAAGCAUUAGGAAGACACGAUGAGUUUUAAGCAUAUCUUUCAUUUCCCUUACGUUUUGUCUUGUUUGCUUCUUUUUUUACUUCAAUAUUUAAGAACAAUCUUUGACUUAGUUUUUCCCGCCGAUUUCUCUAAAUUAUACAAACUGAAUGAAUUUUUGGUAGAAUAGGUAAAAAAAAUAACAGAGAAAAGAGCAAACAAAAAAACUAUGUUGGUGCUUUUAGUUUCAACGAAGAAGAAACUUGAAAAAAAUUGAAGUUUCUCCUUAUCAGUAUUAGUAUAUUUUUUAUAAAUACAUUGAAUAUUAACUAAAAAUAUCAAAAUAUUCUAAAUUUCUUCUCAUUUUAAGAUGAAAAUAAUUGCGAUUGUUAUUCCCAUUCGCAAAAAAACAC